GCCGGGGUAGCUCAGUCG
RNAcentral lists this transfer RNA (18 nucleotides) under Pseudomoerckia blyttii. Its description in RNAcentral is "Moerckia blyttii partial tRNA-Phe". Lineage: Eukaryota; Viridiplantae; Streptophyta; Jungermanniopsida; Pallaviciniales; Pseudomoerckiaceae. The record is from RNAcentral.